UGUAGGCGGCCAUUUAAGUCUGGUGUGAAAGCCCUGGGCUCAACCCAGGAAGUGCACUGGAUACUGGAUGGCUGGAGUACCGGAGAGGAGGGUGGAAUUCCUGGUGUAGCGGUGAAAUGCGUAGAUAUCAGGAGGAACACCGGUGGCGAAGGCGUCCCUCUGGCCGGAUACUGACGCUGAGACGCGAAAGCGUGGGGAGCAAACA
This 205-nucleotide ribosomal RNA is filed under the name uncultured bacterium. Its description in RNAcentral is "partial 16S ribosomal RNA". It matches the Rfam family "Bacterial small subunit ribosomal RNA", at positions 570 to 774 of the family's 1533-position model. The record is from RNAcentral.